UAACUAUCAGCGAUGGAUGUCUUGGUUCUCGCAACGAUGAAGGACGCAGCAAAAUGUGAUAGUCAAUGUGAAUUGCAGAAUUCAGUGAAUCAUCAGGUUGCUGAACGCAGACGGCACUUCUGGUACCCCCAGGAGUAUGUCUAUCUCAGUAUUUCUUAAACUC
This 163-nucleotide ribosomal RNA is filed under the name uncultured fungus. Its description in RNAcentral is "5.8S ribosomal RNA". It matches the Rfam family "5.8S ribosomal RNA". Rfam says of the family: 5.8S ribosomal RNA (5.8S rRNA) is a component of the large subunit of the eukaryotic ribosome. It is transcribed by RNA polymerase I as part of the 45S precursor that also contains 18S and 28S rRNA. Lineage: Eukaryota; Fungi. The record is from RNAcentral.